Molecule: ribosomal RNA, 467 nt
Filed under: uncultured Planctomycetaceae bacterium
Lineage: Bacteria; Pseudomonadati; Planctomycetota; Planctomycetia; Planctomycetales; Planctomycetaceae
Description: bacterial SSU rRNA
Rfam family: Bacterial small subunit ribosomal RNA
Source: RNAcentral
AAUGAACGUUGGCGGCGUGGAUUAGGCAUGCAAGUCGAGCGGAAAGGCCCCUUCGGGGGUACUCGAGCGGCGAAAGGGAGAGUAACGCGUGGACAACCUACCCUUGGGUUCGGGAUAGCUGCGGGAAACUGCAGGUAAUACCGGAUAACGUCUUCGGACCAAAGGUGAGAUUCCGCCUGGGGACGGGUCCGCGUCCUAUUAGCUUGUUGGUGGGGUAACGGCCUACCAAGGCUGCGAUGGGUACCGGGCGUGAGAGCGUGGCCCGGCUCACUGGGACUGAGACACUGCCCAGACACCUACGGGUGGCUGCAGUCGAGAAUCUUCGGCAAUGGACGAAAGUCUGACCGAGCGACGCCGCGUGUGGGAUGAAGGCCUUCGGGUUGUAAACCGCUGUCAGUUGGGAGGAAAUCCAGGGGGGUUAUCCCCUCUGGUUGACCUAGCUUCAGAGGAAGGACGGGCUAAGUUCG